This 89-nucleotide microRNA precursor is filed under the name Myotis lucifugus (little brown bat). RNAcentral describes it as "miRNA (ENSMLUG00000022763.1)". The record is from RNAcentral. Lineage: Eukaryota; Metazoa; Chordata; Mammalia; Chiroptera; Vespertilionidae.
CUGUGUGUGUGUGUGUGUGUGUGUGUGUGUGUGUGUGUGUGUGUCCAUCGCGCCCAGGUACACAUGCACAGACGUGCACAAACACAGUC